CAUUGCAUGUUACAGGGCCUGGGUCCAAGUCCAAGCUCCACUCUCCGUUCCAGCUUCCUGCUAACACAGACCUGGGAGACAGCAGAUAAUGACUCAAGGAAUUGGUUCCUGCCAUCCACAUGGAAAACUCAGUUUAGGACUCCUCACUCUGACCUGGCCCAGACCUGGCUAUUACGAAUUCCCUGGCACCGUCUGUCCAAAGCAAUCAACACUGAAGAUACCGAUCUUCCAUCUGCUUGUUCAUUCCCCAAAAGCCUGCAACAGCCAGGGCUGGGUCAAGUCAAAGUUCCAUCCACGUCGACCAUGUGGGGGGCAGGAGUUCAAGGAGUCCAAGCCUCUGAACGGUCAUCGGCUGCCUUCCAGGAUACAUUAGCAGGAAGCUGGAGCAGAAGCCUAGGUAGGUGCUGGAAUUUGACUCGGCCUCCAAUACAGGAUGCAGGCAUCCUGUGCAGUGGCUUCAUCACGAGCCUUACACCCGCCCCCAGCGCUGUCAUUUCACCCAUGCCCUCUCUGGACUCACAGCUAUUGGACAUUAUGGUUUGUCAAGGUCAGGACUGUGCAUGGAUGGGGAAAUGAGAAACUGAUUCAGGUGUGGCUGCCACUCUCAAGGUGCUGUGGACUUAAUGGUGCUCCUCCCUCCUCCCAAACUCAUAUCCUGAAGUCCUAGCCUCUAAUGGAGCUGCAUUUGGAGGCAACGCCUCUAAGGAGGUUGUUAGGUACAAGUGGGGUUAUGUUGGUGGGCCCUGGUCUGAUAGGAUUAAUGUCCUUACAAGAA
Molecule: non-coding RNA, 775 nt
Organism: Oryctolagus cuniculus (rabbit)
Lineage: Eukaryota; Metazoa; Chordata; Mammalia; Lagomorpha; Leporidae
Source: RefSeq, a predicted model, not a curated record